UCUUUAUGGGGUGACUGCGUACCUUUUGUAUAAUGGGUCAGCGACUUAUAUUCUGUAGCAAGGUUAACCGAAUAGGGGAGCCGAAGGGAAACCGAGUCUUAACUGGGCGUUAAGUUGCAGGGUAUAGACCCGAAACCCGGUGAUCUAGCCAUGGGCAGGUUGAAGGUUGGGUAACACUAACUGGAGGACCGAACCGACUAAUGUUGAAAAAUUAGCGGAUGACUUGUGGCUGGGGGUGAAAGGCCAAUCAAACCGGGAGAUAGCUGGUUCUCCCCGAAAGCUAUUUAGGUAGCGCCUCGUGAAUUCAUCUCCGGGGGUAGAGCACUGUUUCGGCAAGGGGGUCAUCCCGACUUACCAACCCGAUGCAAACUGCGAAUACCGGAGAAUGUUAUCACGGGAGACACACGGCGGGUGCUAACGUCCGUCGUGAAGAGGGAAACAACCCAGACCGCCAGCUAAGGUCCCAAAGUCAUGGUUAAGUGGGAAACGAUGUGGGAAGGCCCAGACAGCCAGGAUGUUGGCUUAGAAGCAGCCAUCAUUUAAAGAAAGCGUAAUAGCUCACUGGUCGAGUCGGCCUGCGCGGAAGAUGUAACGGGGCUAAACCAUGCACCGAAGCUGCGGCAGCGACGCUUAUGCGUUGUUGGGUAGGGGAGCGUUCUGUAAGCCUGUGAAGGUGUGCUGUGAGGCAUGCUGGAGGUAUCAGAAGUGCGAAUGCUGACAUAAGUAACGAUAAAGCGGGUGAAAAGCCCGCUCGCCGGAAGACCAAGGGUUCCUGUCCAACGUUAAUCGGGGCAGGGUGAGUCGACCCCUAAGGCGAGGCCGAAAGGCGUAGUCGAUGGGAAACAGGUUAAUAUUCCUGUACUUGGUGUUACUGCGAAGGGGGGACGGAGAAGGCUAUGUUGGCCGGGCGACGGUUGUCCCGGUUUAAGCGUGUAGGCUGGUUUUCCAGGCAAAUCCGGAAAAUCAAGGCUGAGGCGUGAUGACGAGGCACUACGGUGCUGAAGCAACAAAUGCCCUGCUUCCAGGAAAAGCCUCUAAGCAUCAGGUAACAUCAAAUCGUACCCCAAACCGACACAGGUGGUCAGGUAGAGAAUACCAAGGCGCUUGAGAGAACUCGGGUGAAGGAACUAGGCAAAAUGGUGCCGUAACUUCGGGAGAAGGCACGCUGAUAUGUAGGUGAGGUCCCUCGCGGAUGGAGCUGAAAUCAGUCGAAGAUACCAGCUGGCUGCAACUGUUUAUUAAAAACACAGCACUGUGCAAACACGAAAGUGGACGUAUACGGUGUGACGCCUGCCCGGUGCCGGAAGGUUAAUUGAUGGGGUUAGCGGUAACGCGAAGCUCUUGAUCGAAGCCCCGGUAAACGGCGGCCGUAACUAUAACGGUCCUAAGGUAGCGAAAUUCCUUGUCGGGUAAGUUCCGACCUGCACGAAUGGCGUAAUGAUGGCCAGGCUGUCUCCACCCGAGACUCAGUGAAAUUGAACUCGCUGUGAAGAUGCAGUGUACCCGCGGCAAGACGGAAAGACCCCGUGAACCUUUACUAUAGCUUGACACUGAACAUUGAGCCUUGAUGUGUAGGAUAGGUGGGAGGCUUUGAAGUGUGGACGCCAGUCUGCAUGGAGCCGACCUUGAAAUACCACCCUUUAAUGUUUGAUGUUCUAACGUUGACCCGUAAUCCGGGUUGCGGACAGUGUCUGGUGGGUAGUUUGACUGGGGCGGUCUCCUCCUAAAGAGUAACGGAGGAGCACGAAGGUUGGCUAAUCCUGGUCGGACAUCAGGAGGUUAGUGCAAUGGCAUAAGCCAGCUUGACUGCGAGCGUGACGGCGCGAGCAGGUGCGAAAGCAGGUCAUAGUGAUCCGGUGGUUCUGAAUGGAAGGGCCAUCGCUCAACGGAUAAAAGGUACUCCGGGGAUAACAGGCUGAUACCGCCCAAGAGUUCAUAUCGACGGCGGUGUUUGGCACCUCGAUGUCGGCUCAUCACAUCCUGGGGCUGAAGUAGGUCCCAAGGGUAUGGCUGUUCGCCAUUUAAAGUGGUACGCGAGCUGGGUUUAGAACGUCGUGAGACAGUUCGGUCCCUAUCUGCCGUGGGCGCUGGAGAACUGAGGGGGGCUGCUCCUAGUACGAGAGGACCGGAGUGGACGCAUCACUGGUGUUCGGGUUGUCAUGCCAAUGGCACUGCCCGGUAGCUAAAUGCGGAAGAGAUAAGUGCUGAAAGCAUCUAAGCACGAAACUUGCCCCGAGAUGAGUUCUCCCUGACUCCUUGAGAGUCCUGAAGGAACGUUGAAGACGACGACGUUGAUAGGCCGGGUGUGUAAGCGCAGCGAUGCGUUGAGCUAACCGGUACUAAUGAACCGUGAG
This 2354-nucleotide ribosomal RNA is filed under the name Escherichia coli. RNAcentral describes it as "partial 23S ribosomal RNA". It matches the Rfam family "Bacterial large subunit ribosomal RNA", at positions 582 to 2915 of the family's 2925-position model. The record is from RNAcentral. Lineage: Bacteria; Pseudomonadati; Pseudomonadota; Gammaproteobacteria; Enterobacterales; Enterobacteriaceae.